RNAcentral lists this ribosomal RNA (425 nucleotides) under uncultured bacterium. RNAcentral describes it as "partial 16S ribosomal RNA". It matches the Rfam family "Bacterial small subunit ribosomal RNA", at positions 354 to 796 of the family's 1533-position model. The record is from RNAcentral.
GUGGGGAAUCUUGCGCAAUGGGCGAAAGCCUGACGCAGCCAUGCCGCGUGAAUGAUGAAGGUCUUAGGAUUGUAAAAUUCUUUCACCGGGGACGAUAAUGACGGUACCCGGAGAAGAAGCUCCGGCUAACUUCGUGCCAGCAGCCGCGGUAAUACGAAGGGGGCUAGCGUUGCUCGGAAUUACUGGGCGUAAAGGGCGCGUAGGCGGACAGCUUAGUCAGAGGUGAAAGCCCAGGGCUCAACCUUGGAAUUGCCUUUGAUACUGGCUGUCUUGAGUUUGGGAGAGGUGAGUGGAACUCCGAGUGUAGAGGUGAAAUUCGUAGAUAUUCGGAGGAACACCAGUGGCGAAGGCGGCUUACUGGUCCAUUACUGACGCUGAGGUGCGAAAGCGUGGGGAGCAAACAGGAUUAGAAACCCCAGUAGUCC